Molecule: unclassified non-coding RNA, 596 nt
Filed under: Hevea brasiliensis (rubber tree)
Lineage: Eukaryota; Viridiplantae; Streptophyta; Magnoliopsida; Malpighiales; Euphorbiaceae
Source: RNAcentral
CAAAAUCAAUAGGAUUAUCCCCCUGGAAGAUCCCAUUGGAUGUAACCUUCAUGGGUGUGGAACAUGAUGCUUGUGUUGCAUUGGAAGCCAUUUUUUCUUUUUUUCUUCUUUCAAAUGAUCACCAAGAAACACAGAAAUUCACUGCAAGAAAAAGAUUGAUUUCUUAACUGAAUGCCUUAAUCAACCUGAAAUUGCUUCGUAGGCAAGAAAAUGGCACCCGAUUUCUUUAAUCGUCUUCGUUUUCUCUUCAUCACUCUGUUUGUUCCUCCUUUCAAAAAAUCAAGAAGAAGAAGAAAUGGGAAGAUUUGUAGACAUAUGGAGAAGCUUUGAAGAAGGUGUGAAGAGAUUGCGGAGUGAUACGGUUAAGGGCCGCAAAAUGAGCAAAUACCGUAAGUGCCAUUGGCAUCGACAGUGAGUCUCCUAUCUCAAAAUUACACUGCUACCCAUCCAAGUCUAGCUGAAUUAAACAAGGACUAGACAAUGCUUUUUUCUUCUGUUUACCAGAUAAUUACUGUACACACCCAAACCCCAGCACUAAGAGAUAAUGGGGAAAAAAAAAUUAAUUUUUUCUUAAAUUUAAAGAAGCGAUAUCCAUG